RNAcentral lists this ribosomal RNA (270 nucleotides) under uncultured archaeon. RNAcentral describes it as "partial 16S ribosomal RNA". It matches the Rfam family "Archaeal small subunit ribosomal RNA", at positions 477 to 747 of the family's 1478-position model. The record is from RNAcentral.
CUGCAGCCCGAGUGGUGAUCAUUAUUAUUGAGCCUAAAGCGUCCGUAGCCGGACUAGUGAACCCUUGGGUAAAUUGGGCAGCUUAACUGUCCGAAUUCCGAGGGGACUGCUAGUCUUGGGACCGGGAGAGGUCAGAGGUACUCAAGGGGUAGGGGCUAAAUCCUGUAAUCCUUUGGGGACCACCAGUGGCGAAGGCGUCUGACUAGAACGGAUCCGACGGUAAGGGACGAAACCCUGGGGCGCGAACCGGAUUAGAUACCCGAGUAGUCC